AUGAGCCAACACUCCUUCCCUUGGUACCCACCUCCUUUUCUUCGCCUCCUGGCCUUUGUACCUCGCCUGACUCCCUUCAAUAAAGAUCUCCUGCCGGACCUCUUGAUCUCCUGCCGGACCUCUCGGUGCGUGAGUGACCUGAUUGGGAGGGGGCGCCCAAAGGGGGCUCGAGACCCCUUUCACCUGCCACAUGCAGCAACACCUGCAGGUCCAGAUACCCCUGGAGACCAUCGGACUUCCCCUGCCCCAGAACAAAAGACUUCCUCCACUUCACGACAAAAAUCUCCAUUCCUCCUGGCACUACCCCUCCUCUACCUAAACUCCCCUAUAAAGGUUCCCCUCACCCAAGACCCCAGUGUCAAAAGUUUUGUCAACCUUGACUAGCCUGCACCCAGACUGAAAAUAAAAUCCUGCAUGUCACUUCAUUUUUGCCUGCUCUGGUUGGUGGUCUCAGUCACACCUUGACUUACCCAAAUGUGAUGCACUUUUUAUUGAUUUUAUCCUUUCCUCUCUUUUUUCAGCCAAAAUUCACUCUACAGAGCUAAUUUUUCCCUUACCCCUUCACUCCUUCCUUUUCAAAUAGAUUACAGCACCAUUUUUGGUUUGUCUCAUCCAAUUAUUUGUUUAAGGCAAGAAGUACUUGGAAUAAGCUUAAUUGGUGAGCCAUUACUAAAGGAACUGUCCAACAACAUUUUGGCAAAGCCAGCUAGGAGAUAACAUUUUGACAUAGCCAGCCACAAAAGUAAAAGCUCAGGUACAGAAGAUAAAGGUAAGACCCACGUGGGUACAUUUUUUGUUUCUAAAAUACUGUGAGAAAAAAAAACUUUCUCUGUGUCACUCUCUACCAUAGGCCAGGAAUGCAAGGGAGUAUUCUCAAAUCAUGCAGGUAACUGUUUGCUGCUUCUCUAGCCAUGAGAAUGGCACUGUUUGUGAUGACCUGGAUGGUCAUCCAUUCCUCAGGCCCUAGGAAGUGAAGCUCCCUAGAAAUGCUUGAUAAAUGAAAACACCUUCACAGGCCAAAAUAUUAGGUCCCAUCUGAACAAGGACCAAAAGAUCCAGGAGGAAAAGUCGUGAUCCUCCUCCACCUGAGGGCUGACUCAUCACCUGCUAGGAGAAAAAGUACAAUCACUCUGAAAAUAAAUAAUCACUCUAAAACAUUAAGUGAACAAAAAUAACCCAAAUGCAUAUACCCUACGAGCUCAAAUAUGUAAAACUGUGAUAAGGAAAACUUUAAUAGAGAAAACCUAGGAAAUUAUCACAAUGUAAGAUAACUUCUGCCCUUAGCUCUGUUUAGUUCAGAAUUAACCAGCACCGGAGGCAUCUAGUCUCCCCCAAGUUUUGUAAAUGAAAAGAACCAUUGUUAGCUUUGUUGACCAACCAAGGUCCCUUCCCCUGGCUAGAAUAGGUAACUGAAUAAAUCUUAAAGGUAACUUCCCUAACAAAGAACUGCAUCUGGGUUGAAAUUCAACUGCCUUGCCACCACGUUUUGGGUAUCAGCAAUGUGAGCUGAGAAAAUGCAAUGUAACCAACUGAAUAAGAUCAAGGCUGUAAAACUCUAUAAAAGAAGGAGUUGUAAUCCAAUGGGGGAGUAGAUCAGGGCACCGCCAUUAGGUGUGAUCAAUCCCUAUUUUAUUUUACUUCCAUUCUGUCUGUGUGUCACUUGCCAAUUCCUUCCAUAACAACUGUCAUGUCUACAUGACAGUCAAACGUGGUGUGAUCAAAGUAUAUGGUGAAUCUUCAAAUUUUAUUUAAAAAAUUAUUACAAUCAAAGGCACAUUGCCACUAAUUCUGUUCAACAUUCUUGGCUUUGAAUGCACUUAUCCCAUUAUUCUUGCCACUUUGAGGUAGUUCUAGAAGUUCUUUCCCAAAUGUCUUUAUGAGGUAUGAUUUUAAAAAAUACAGUAAAUGCUGCUGUCAACUGUCAUCUAGAAAGACAGCCUCGUAAAAAAUAUCAUGGUGUAUUGUCUCCCACCUUAUACCAUGGAUCUGGCACCGUGUGACUUCUGGAUGUCCUCUUAGCACAGAGCCAGGUGUGUGGGAUCCAUCAUCAGGACCUGUGAUCCAUGAAGUGGGGGGCAGCAAGCUGAAUGGCUUUGGGCCCACACUGCUGGAUAACUCCAAGGCCUUGAGAAGGUACUCUCCCAGUUCAGCCUCCUGGCUCUGACAGGCUCUGAAUGGAUCUGUGGCAGAGAAUGUCCCAUGGUCUUGGCUGCUCAGGAGUCCAGAGUUCAGCUGCUAACAGAGGUAGGCACUGGGCUCUUCAGACAGUACAAGACUCCAGGCACGAAGCAAACUAGGAGGAGCUUUCCAUUUCCCUGCAGUCUUAGGGUCCCCUCCUCCUAAACCCACACACAUCUCUCCCUGGCAGGCCCAGAGGAAACUAUCUGCCCAUGACUGUGGCAUGUUCCUGUUUUUGGGUCCCCUAAAUCUGUAGAACAAGAGCCCAAGGAGGGAAAGGAAGGGUGCUGACCAAGGCAGUCAAGUGCCCUGGGGAUCAACUGGACCUAGGCCUGGGCUGAAUACAACUGUCUACACAGGCUGGACCUGAGAUCCCAAAGCUGGACAUGUCAGACAUCCCACACCCCAGCCAAUCCACCUGGACCAAGCCCAAGAGAAUCCCCUUCACAGCAACAUCCAGACAUUGGUCAGUGCUCAAGAGAAGUCAGGGGCAGUCGUCAAGUGUCUUGACCCAUGUUUUAGCUGUCUACAUAUACAUUUCUUUUUGCCGCCACAUCCCCAGUGCAUAUCACAUACCCAGUACUUAAGAGUGCAGGAAGUAUCUGCCCAAGAAAAUGAAUGAGUGAAUAGUCAUCCCAAGGGUACAGAGCUCUCCCAUCAGAUCUGAACCAGGAAACAGCCUGGAAGCUGGCCAGGUCCUGGGGGCAUCCCAGCCCCCUAAGACGGUACCAGCUAAGCAUCCUCCAUAGACUGCUGCUGCCCCUUCCCAGAGAAGCCACAGGACAGUGCCACACAGCUG
Molecule: long non-coding RNA, 2977 nt
Organism: Fukomys damarensis (Damara mole-rat)
Lineage: Eukaryota; Metazoa; Chordata; Mammalia; Rodentia; Bathyergidae
Source: Ensembl